UAAAGGCCUCCCAAGGCUUCGAUCGGUAGCUGGUCUGAGAGGACGAUCAGCCACACUGUUUUUGAAAACAGUUCAGACUCCUACGGGGGCAGCAGUGAGGAAUUUUCCGCAAUGGAGGCAACUCUGACGGAGCAACGCCGCGUGCAGGACGAAGGUUUUCGGAUCGUAAACUGCUUUUCUCGGGGACGAGCAAGGACGGUACCCGAGGAAGAAGCCCCUGCUAACUACGUGCCAGCAGCCGCGGUAAUACGUAGGGGGCAAGCGUUGUCCGGAUUUAUUGGGCGUAAAGCGCACGCAGGCGGUGCGGUAAGUUUGGGGUGACAGCGUUCGGCUUAACCGGGCGAGUGUCCCAAAGACUGCCGCACUUGAGGGCCAAAGAGGAACACAGAAUUCCGGGUGUAGUGGUGAAAUG
RNAcentral lists this ribosomal RNA (412 nucleotides) under uncultured Ktedonobacteria bacterium. Its description in RNAcentral is "bacterial SSU rRNA". It matches the Rfam family "Bacterial small subunit ribosomal RNA", at positions 258 to 688 of the family's 1533-position model. The record is from RNAcentral. Lineage: Bacteria; Bacillati; Chloroflexota; Ktedonobacteria.